UACGUAGGGUGCGAGCGUUGUCCGGAAUUAUUGGGCGUAAAGCGCACGUAGGCGGCCUUGUAAGUCGGAUGUGAAAUCCCUCGGCUUAACCGAGGACGUGCAUCCGAAACUGUGAGGCUCGAGUAUGGAAGAGGGUCGCAGAAUUCCCGGUGUAGAGGUGAAAUUCGUAGAUAUCGGGAGGAAUACCAGUGGCGAAGGCGGCGACCUGGGCCAAUACUGACGCUGAGGUGCGAAAGCCAGGGGAGCGAACGGG
RNAcentral lists this ribosomal RNA (253 nucleotides) under uncultured bacterium. RNAcentral describes it as "partial 16S ribosomal RNA". It matches the Rfam family "Bacterial small subunit ribosomal RNA", at positions 524 to 776 of the family's 1533-position model. The record is from RNAcentral.